AGCGGGUAAACUAUUGCCCGUUUUCUCAAAAACUAGAAUAACGCGAAAAAUAAAAUUCCAAGGACACAAGAACAUCCUCCUUCCUAUAAGAAGACCAGGAAAACAAACCCCGUUCCGUUCCGACACUCGAGCACAAAACAGGCACGAUCUCAGCAAACUAUGUCGUUAUAACGACGAUACUCGAACUAAUAACCUUCGAACCCUAAUUAACCUAUCCACAAUCCAUGGUCUUUCAAU
RNAcentral lists this long non-coding RNA (237 nucleotides) under Trifolium pratense (red clover). Its description in RNAcentral is "long non-coding RNA (TPRA_LNC008844)". Lineage: Eukaryota; Viridiplantae; Streptophyta; Magnoliopsida; Fabales; Fabaceae. The record is from RNAcentral.